GCUCUUCCAGGGGGGAAGGCCUCGCGGAGUUAGGUCAUUUUCUUAUUUCUCCCGGGAACCCGACUCCGUGCCAGAGUCUAUAGGUCGGCCUCGGGCCCCUCCGCCUUGUGUGUCCUGCCCCUGGAUCCCCAUCCCGGUGGCCUCCGUCCAUUGCUGGGCACAGCCCAGCGGUCGGCGCGGCCUCGGCCUCCAAGACAUCCCAGGAGGCCAUCUUCCCCUCCCCCACCCGGUUGACGCCGCCUCGAGCUCUCCUCUGUGCCUUCUGCUCAAUCGCAUUUUGUGCAGCAGUGCCUAUGAGUUGAAGAUGAAGAUCAUUGUGAUAAAUGUUUUCCAAAAACCUGUCACAGAAGAUGGCUGUGAAAACACCAGGAGGACUGCUGCACAUGUAACAAGAUAA
RNAcentral lists this long non-coding RNA (397 nucleotides) under Ovis aries (sheep). RNAcentral's name for it is "lncRNA (ENSOARG00000026531.1)". Lineage: Eukaryota; Metazoa; Chordata; Mammalia; Artiodactyla; Bovidae. The record is from RNAcentral.